CCCUUGCUCAUUUAACACUGCAUCCGGGUGCCGAUGGAGAUACAGCGACCCUUGCUCACUUCUACAUGUGCCUACGCGUCCAUAAGAUUAAGCUCUAUUCGAAUGUGUCAAUAAACAUGACAAAAUAUGCGAGAAUCACAUACGUCCUAAAAAAUCACGCUUUGCCCAUAGGGCAAUUUCGUCAGUUCACAUAUUAAAAUUAUAAAAAUCAUAAUUUUUUUAGAUGGGCUGUUACAAUCUACCCAACUUAAAAAUUUCAUCCACGGAAUUUGAAAUCAUUAGCUAAAUGUAAUGUACUCCAGGAGAUAGGAAAAAGUAUAUAUAUGCAUACAUGAAAAGGCAAAAUCAAGCUAGCGCGGUAGCAGAACAGAGAAUGUCAUUCUGUUGCGAUCGGAAUGUAAUUAUUCAUCUUUCAUGCUUUCAAGCUCAACCCUUCCUUCUCUUUAUAGGUAUAAUAAUGCUAUAUAGUAGAUGGUAAAAUGAUUUCCUAAAAAAUAAUCGGCACAAAAGACACCGCUUUCAUGGGCCCUAUGGUUUUACUUUCGGGAAACUAAAGUAACCAAUAUACCCAAAAAGGCUCAACAGAUUCGUAAGCCCAAAUCUCUUUUUCAUAAAACAAAUAAAUAAUUGUUGCACUUGUUUGGAAAGGUUGUUGCUCAGUCAUGGGGUUUUGAUCACUGGCGCACGCGCUUGCCAAAUUGAUCCAUUAUGAAUUCCCCACUAAUCAAGCUUGAAAUCAUGUCGAUAAGGCUAACAGGACACCCAAGAAUUUGAGCGUCAAGACAAGUUCAAGAAAUCUAGAGUACAUGGUAUCUGAAUUAAUUACGCAAUGUCAAUAUCUAAAUGGUCAUCUUGGACAGCUUAUCAACCUCCUAAAUAACAUGAGGAAUAUACUAGUGACUCAAAAUCAACCCAAUUACCUUUAACAACAUGAGGUAAAACCAAGAGUACAACCAUAAUUGACACGGACUAAAAUAUUAAAAAGUCGAAAAAUUUCAAAAGUAAGAUAAUAAAACAAGAUGAAUUACGUCGGAGUACUAAACAAUUUCGUUAUUACCUCAGACCAAGAAGUAGGAAGGUCGAAUUUAAGAAUGAACUGACAAGGUUUCUUGAUGAUCGAAAAGUAACAUCAUAAAUUAUUAAAACUACUAGGGAUCAAAAGUAAUUUCCCCAAAAUGUUCUUCCGUCGAUUGCUACCAUUUUAGAACCGUCGUUGCACAAGACAGCUUUAGAGUCUUGACAAGAAUAGACUUCGUAGGAAUUCUAAUAAAUGAUAUUCUAACAGGUACUACCAAAAAUCAAAACUAGCUGAUAUUUCCAAUCUCAAAAGGAACAAUACUAACGGCGGAAGAAUAAUGAUAGAAUUAUUUGGUAAGAAAUGAAACAUGCCAUACGAUGAAGUAUAAACACUACUAUUGGAACACCACAUGAGCGUAACAUUGGUUCAGCAUCAUGAUUAUUGAUUUUCACUUUCUCUACACAUACAAAAUACUUCAUACUGAGAGUGUAUAAUGAUACUUCCCAACUCCAUUCAUAUAACAAUUAAUCAUAAUCAUUCAAACCAUUUCUUGAUAGUGUUCAAAAGUAAUUAUGUCUUUUUCGUACAACCGGAAGAUACACUAUAGUGUACUCACAAUUGCUAAUUAAAUACUUUUACUACCACUGUCCGAACUUAGUUCAUUCCAAAAAGUGAAUGUAUUUAAGAAGUUCUAAAGUUGAUAAAGAAUUUGGACACGUUCUUCACAGAGAAAUGUUAUUCAAUUUCCAAGCAAAGAUGAUAAUUGUUAAAUUUAAAUCUCGGAUAAAAUAGUUCAUUCCAAAUGGUUCUAUACAUUGGUACGACUACUAUGAAUUCAACAAGCUUUACGAGAAAACUCUAAAUUCCCAAAAGUUUGUUACAUAGACCACCAAUUUGAAAUAGGAUUCGUGCCAAAAGAUGCAAGAAAACUAAUGUAGUACGAAAAAUUGAAUGGUGGUAUUCUCCCAGAUAUCGCCAAGGAAUCAAAACUAUUUUUGAUUUCUAUUCUCAAAAGGUUUAAUAAUGAUGGUUAACAAUCGUGAUGAGAUUGGUCCAUAAAUCCUUGGUGAUACACCAAUAAUGAUACCUUAACCCCACGUUAGGGCCAUCAACUAGUCUCAAUUCCACACCUUUCAUUGGCAGAAAAGUUCAUUGAUUAUAAUCUAGAGACAUUUGCCAUAAUGAUCUUCUAAAGAUUGACGAGUCAUCAAAUCUUCCCAAAACUUAGGAACAACUAACAUAUUUUCUGUUUUUGACGAGGUGGCAAGAUUCAAACAUUAGACUCGAGAACCAAGAAUGCUCACAUCAUGCGUGUGAGGAACGCAAUACUGCCCAACUUAUGCUCUAAUACCAAACUGACACACCUCAACCCGGAAUGUCCAUUAGGACUCCGAAUUGAGUUGCACUGGCCAAUACCAGGAAGGUGACGAAGCCAUAAAGUGUGAUGAUGUGGAAAAAUAUGAAUAAAUUUAAACCUAAGAGUGCCUAAAUACCAGAGUGCGCUGGUGAGCGGGAAGGAACCCACUUCACACGUGACGUUAGAGCAUAACUAAGUACAGUAGAGUGGAUUAAGAAUCGUACCUUCGAAAGAAUCUCCAAUACUAAGAAUCGCCACGAAUCUUCGACGAUAAGAAAGCUCAACUAAUAAAACCUGGAGGGUGAAAACAAAACAGGGGUGAAUGGCCCUAGAAAUGAAAUUUUAAUAGAAAUCAUAUAAACCAUUAUAACCCCUCGCUGCAACACCUGUAUAGUUUCCAGAAAAAUCAUACCACGUAUUAAUGUGAAAUCAAAAGUAUAUCAACUCUAAAUCCAUAAUUAUACAACAACAUAGCAUCUCAUCAGCAAUAUCAAUAAUCAUGUGAUUAAUAACCCAUACUAGCAUGCAAGUCGAAGUCACCUAUGAUGACCUGUACGACUGCACCCAUAUCUCAUCAAUCAACACUGGCAUAUAAGUCGAAGUCACUUAUAGUGACCUAUAUGACUUAUCCAUAUCUCAUCAAUCAACGCUAGCAUAUAAGUCGGAGUCACCUCUUGUGACUUGUACGACUCAUCUCAUAUUUCAUCACAUACGCAAGCUCAUCACAUAUUUCAUCACAUAUGCUAGCUCAUCAUAUACUUCACCACAUAUGCUAGCUCAUCACAUAUUUCAUCACGUAUGCUAGCUCAUCACAUAUUUCAUCACAUAUGCUCGCUCAUCACAUAUUUCAUCACAUACGCUAGAUCAUCACAUAUUUCAUCACAUAUGCUAGCUCAUCACAUAUUUCAUCACGUAGGCUAGCUCAUCACAUAUUUCACGACAUAUGCUAGCUCAUCACAUAUUUCAUCACAUAUGCUAGCUUAUCACAUAUUUUCAUCAUAUAUGCUAGCUCAUUACAUAUUUCACCACAUAUGCUAGCUCAUCACAUAAUUCAUCACAUAUGCUAGCUGAUCACAUAAUUCAUCACAUAUGCUAGCUCAUCACAUAUUUCACCACAUAUGCUAGCUCAUCACAUAUUUCAUCACAUAUGCUAGCUCAUCACAUAUUUCAUCACAUAUGCUAGCUGAUUACAUAUUUCACCACAUAUGCUAGCUCAUCACAUAUUUAAUCACAUAUGCUAGCUCAUCACAUAUUUCAUCACAUAUGCUAGCUCAUCACAUAUUUCACCACAUAUGCUAGCUCAUCACAUAUUUCAUCACAUAAGCUCGCUCAUCACAUAUUUCACCACAUAUGCUAGCUCAUCACAUAUUUCAUCACAUAGGCUAGAUAAUCACAUAUUUCACCACAUAUGCUAGCUCAUCACAUAUUUCAUCACAUAUAUAUAUAUGCUAGCUCAUCACAUAUUUUCAUCAUAUAUGCUAGCUCAUCACAUUUUUCACCACAUAUGCUAGCUGAUCACAUAUUUCAUCACAUAUGCUAGCUCGUCACAUAUUUCACCACAUAUGCUAGCUCAUCACAUAUUUCAUCACAUAUGCUGGCUCAUCACAUAUUUCACCACAUAUGCUAGCCCAUCACAUAUUUCAUCACAUAUGCUAGCUCAUCACAUAUGCCAACUCAUAAGUCGGGGUCACCUCUAGUGACCUAUACGACUUAUCCAUAGCUCAAUAAGUAUACCUGCACACGUCGGAACCACCUAAAGUGGUCUGUACGACAGGAUUGGAUGUAAAUAAAUACGCUCAAGUCCUACGAUCACAUGAAGACUGUUUGAAUAAUUGCAGGUCACCUAGGAGUCGGAACCACCUAUAGUGGUCAGUACGACAAGACUGUGCACCUACCUUGGAUCCAAGGUGAGCAUAAGGUGUGGGAGGUGAACAUCACGUGAAGGAUUGUGCCCUGGCCACGGGUGGGUGCACAAACACCGGGGUGCAGGUUUAUGAGCUCUCAAUAUAUCUCAACAUAACAUGUACGACUCAUGGGCAACCAGUACGACAGUAUCAGAGUUGCUUAAAACAUGCAUGUAGUCAUGCCAUAACUCCAUCAUUUCAACUAAUACCAUAAACUUACCUGAACUUACCAGGGUGUCCUGCGUUCACCUUUGUACUUCAAGCGUUCACAAUAAUUAUGUGCAGGUAAUAUACAUAUAGAUAAACCAUGAUGCAAUCUGAUACUCAAACAUGUCAUAGCAUUAUCAAUUAUAUACAUCCAUAUAUAUAUAUAUAUAUAAUAUGGCAUAAAAUGCAUAAGCUGUAGCGCCCUACUCUCGAACUAUUUAAUUUCAGAAAUAAUUAUCGGUGAUAAGCCCAACUAGACACUAGUUCAAUUAACUAUCAUUACUUACGUUUCCUUACUUCAAUUUCUUCCUUCUUCACACAUUGAUUUAUGACCAACAAUUAAUCACCAAUUAGUAAGGUUAACUCUCACACUUUCCACCAAUGUCCCUCACAUUACUCAAUUCCCUCACAAGACUAUUACCUCAAUUAUUUAGUCUCACUUCUUGUAUGGCUGCACCUAACGUCUCAUUAUACUGCCUACAUACCCUAAACAGAGAUCAAGCCAUUCGUAGUUCACAGUAGUAUUUCAAAGCAUUCAUCGUAAUCAUAAGCAAUAAUCAAUUUAUAAACAUUUAUUGAAUUGUCAAUGAUAUAUAUAUAUAUAUAAUACACGAUAGAAUGGAAAGGACCCACUGACUUGUGGUUCGUGCCACGACUCCUUAGCACGUAUAUUUAGA
Molecule: long non-coding RNA, 5163 nt
Filed under: Malus domestica (apple)
Lineage: Eukaryota; Viridiplantae; Streptophyta; Magnoliopsida; Rosales; Rosaceae
Description: long non-coding RNA (MDOM_LNC013494)
Source: RNAcentral